RNAcentral lists this ribosomal RNA (433 nucleotides) under uncultured bacterium. RNAcentral's name for it is "partial 16S ribosomal RNA". It matches the Rfam family "Bacterial small subunit ribosomal RNA", at positions 29 to 507 of the family's 1533-position model. The record is from RNAcentral.
AACGAACGCUGGCGGCAGGCCUAACACAUGCAAGUCGAGCGCGCCCUUAGGGGUGAGCGGCGGACGGGUGAGUAACGCGUGGGAACGUGCCCUUUUCUACGGAAUAGCCUCUGGAAACUGAGAGUAAUGCCGUAUACGCUCUUUGGGGGAAAGAUUUAUCGGAAAAGGAUAGGCCCGCGUUGGAUUAGGCUGUUGCGGGGGGAUUGGCCUACCAAGCCGACGAUCCAUAGCUGGUUUGAGAGGAUGAGCAGCCACACUGGGACUGAGACACGGCCCAGACUCCUACGGGAGGCAGCAGUGGGGAAUCUUAGACAAUGGGGGCAACCCUGAUCGAGCCAGGCCGGGUGAGUGAUGAAGUCGUUAGGGUUGUAAAGCUCUUUCAGCUGGGAAGAUAAUGACGGUACCAGCAGAAGAAGCCCCGGCUAACUCCGUG